Molecule: ribosomal RNA, 468 nt
Filed under: uncultured bacterium
Lineage: Bacteria
Description: partial 16S ribosomal RNA
Rfam family: Bacterial small subunit ribosomal RNA
Source: RNAcentral
GACGAACGCUGGCGGCGUGCUUAACACAUGCAAGUCGAACGGAAAGGCCCUGCUUUUGUGGGGUGCUCGAGUGGCGAACGGGUGAGUAACACGUGAGUAACCUGCCUUUGACUUUGGGAUAACUUCAGGAAACUGGGGCUAAUACCGGCUAGGAGCUCCUGCUGCAUGGUGGGGGUUGGAAAGUUUCGGCGGUUGGGGAUGGACUCGCGGCUUAUCAGCUUGUUGGUGGGGUAGUGGCUUACCAAGGCUUUGACGGGUAGCCGGCCUGAGAGGGUGACCGGCCACAUUGGGACUGAGAUACGGCCCAGACUCCUACGGGAGGCAGCAGUGGGGAAUAUUGCACAAUGGGCGGAAGCCUGAUGCAGCAACGCCGCGUGCGGGAUGACGGCCUUCGGGUUGUAAACCGCUUUCGCCUGUGACGAAGCGUGAGUGACGGUAAUGGGUAAAGAAGCACCGGCUAACUACGUG